Molecule: long non-coding RNA, 2054 nt
Filed under: Medicago truncatula (barrel medic)
Lineage: Eukaryota; Viridiplantae; Streptophyta; Magnoliopsida; Fabales; Fabaceae
Description: long non-coding RNA (MTRU_LNC002552)
Source: RNAcentral
UUAUUCCUAAAUAUAUUUUAUUUUAUAUAGUAUAGAUUACACAUGUUUUCUUCAUUUUCUAUUCUCGUGUAUAAAAAUUUCUCGUAAGAAUGCAAGUUCUUCUCAUAUUACUAUUUUUUCUAUUUAGUUUUAAUUAUUUUAUCUUAUUUUGUGCACAUUCAAUAAUUGAACCGGUCUCAGUUUAGAAUCUCAAUUGCAUUUAAUAAUUAACCUAUCAUGGAUAUAUUCUUAAAAUUAUUACAUCAGUGAACAACAGAAUUUUCUGCAGCAAAGGAAGAAAACUUUGAAGUCCAUGAGCUACCACAUACUUUCAUAGUUUUGCUAUUUGAAACACAAACAAAAAGAAAAAAAAUCAAAUAUAUAUCAUGAUCAUUGUGUGUUCUUUAGCAGUCUAAUGAUUUCAGUUCCGAAUUGUUAUCAUUCCCUUCAUCAAAAUAGUAAAUUGAAGCCAAAUAAUUCAAGAGAUCUGUAAGAAUAAGUUUAAAGACAUAAAAAACAAACUUUAUAGCAAAUAAGCCCCCAAACCUACAAAAUUUUAGUAUACAUUUAGUAUACUACACUCGCAUCAAAUAUUCAGAAAUAGGUAGAUGAAAGUUAUAAAACCAGAGAAUGCUUAGACAGGCUGGUGGCAGGCAAUACUCUAGAGACAUUCGUUAUGAAUUCCAGUACGGUGGGAAAACUUCAUAGAAUAUAGAUAAGGCCUCAUUGAACAUUUUCACUCGUUCCCUGUUGAAAUGCAUAGUUAUGCAAUGCUAUUCCUUAAUUACACAAAUCUAUCAUAAAUGCAAAUAAAAAACUUACAAAGAACUACCUCGCCUUCACAGUGCUUGAAUUCAAACCAUCCCUCAUUCGCUUGACAUCUUCUGGUACUGUCGAUAGCAGUAGCUUUCCUUUUGCAGAACUAGAUGGAGAUUUAUCAGUUGAAAUUCCAAGAGCAGCAUUAACAUGUCGCUUAUAAUCCACAUGAAUCAUGAUGAUUAGACUUAUGAUCAAAAUGUGUUGCUGGCAACUUCAGAUCAAAAUGCACAUAAUUGAAGAAGCUCUCCACAUCCCCAUGUGUUGCUGGAGAUCUACUUCACUACUUCUCAACAUAGUGGGCAGAGAAGACAAAAAUGGAUUUUUCAUGCAUUCUCGAAACCUACCUGAUCUAUCUAAUGAAGCAGCUAUGUUGGAUCCAUGCUGCGCAAUGUGCAGUGGUCUAUCCAGGCUACUGGAAGAUGGAUCUAAUUUACUAGAUGUUGUCAUUGCACUAAUUCACGCACAUCCUUCGAGUAAAAAAUACAGACCAGAGAUUGGUGCAUGACAAAAUUGCAGAACAGAAGCACAUAAAGGGCAAAUCAAAAUAUAACAAGAGAACAGUUGGACAGAUUAGAUCAAUAUGGUAAUAGAAAAGUCAAACACAAUUGACAUAUAUACUAUUUCCAAAGCAUAAAUAUCAAAAUUUGUAGAAAUAAUUAACAGUAUCAGCACCACAAUUCUCAUACAAAGCUUCUUAAAAUGGAAACCCUAAAAAAAUUAUAAACCAUUAACUUCAAUCAAUCAAUCAUAAAUUAUGUCAACUGAAACAUAAAAUUAAACAACUUUACACUUAUGGUUCCUUCUAAAAAAAACUUUACACUUAUGGUUAAUUAAUAGUGUAAAUAUUUUUACACUAAUGCUGUAUACAAAUUAAAUUCUAUAUAUCAGUACAUUGACAGAGGAUCUCAAACACAAACUUGGAAAAUUAUGUAAAUGCUUUUCUAAGGUUACAAUCAACAGUUAAAACUUGACAUAACUCAAUCAAUGUGUACAUUUUACACUUUCUGCUUAUAGCCUAAUUAGUUGAAGCAAGUGUUGUUCAUAAACAAUUAUCUCCAAUCUCCAAGUAUGGAAAAUAGCAUAAAAACCAUCCAAUUUGUAUGCAUCGUGCAAGACGAGGAUAAUGAAGAGAUAUGAGAAUUAGUAUAUGUUCAGAUUUGGCACGAUAGAAAAGCACUGAAGCAUAUUGAAUAAAAAUAACCAUCCAUCACAUUAAUCAGGACAAUACUCCAAAAUUAACAAAAUUAUUAUUUAUA